RNAcentral lists this ribosomal RNA (497 nucleotides) under uncultured bacterium. RNAcentral describes it as "partial 16S ribosomal RNA". It matches the Rfam family "Bacterial small subunit ribosomal RNA", at positions 28 to 507 of the family's 1533-position model. The record is from RNAcentral.
GAUGAACGCUGGCGGCGUGCCUAAUACAUGCAAGUCGAGCGAACAGACGAGGAGCUUGCUCCUCUGACGUUAGCGGCGGACGGGUGAGUAACACGUGGAUAACCUACCUAUAAGACUGGGAUAACUUCGGGAAACCGGAGCUAAUACCGGAUAAUAUAUUGAACCGCAUGGUUCAAUAGUGAAAGACGGUUUUGCUGUCACUUAUAGAUGGAUCCGCGCCGCAUUAGCUAGUUGGUAAGGUAACGGCUUACCAAGGCAACGAUGCGUAGCCGACCCGAGAGGGUGAUCGGCCACACUGGAACUGAGACACGGUCCAGACUCCUGCGGGAGGCAGCAGUAGCGAAUCUUCAGCAAUGGGCGAAAGGCUGACGGAGCAACGCCGCGUGAGUGAUGAAGGUCUUCGGAUCGUAAAACUCUGUUAUUAGGGAAGAACAAAUGUGUAAGUAACUAUGCACGUCUUGACGGUACCUAAUCAGAAAGCCACGGCUAACUACGUG